GCUGAAGCCUGGGUGCUUGCAUCUGGGUGGAUGAGUGGCGAACGGGUGAGUAACACGUGAGUAACCUGCCCCUGAUUUCGGGAUAAGCCCGGGAAACUGGGUCUAAUACCGGAUACGACCACCUGCCGCAUGUUCUGUGGUGGAAAGUUUUUUCGAUUGGGGAUGGGCUCGCGGCCUAUCAGUUUGUUGGUGGGGUAAUGGCCUACCAAGGCGACGACGGGUAGCCGGCCUGAGAGGGCGACCGGCCACACUGGGACUGAGACACGGCCCAGACUCCUACGGGAGGCAGCAGUGGGGAAUAUUGCACAAUGGGGGAAACCCUGAUGCAGCGACGCAGCGUGCGGGAUGACGGCCUUCGGGUUGUAAACCGCUUUCAGCAGGGAAGAAGCCGUGAGGUGACNGUNCCUGCAGUAGAAUUACCGGCUAACUACGUGCCAGCAGCCGCGGUAAUACGUAGGGUACGAGCGUUGUCCGGAAUUAUUGGGCGNAAAGAGCUCGUAGGUGGUUGGUCACGUCUGCUGUGGAAACG
This 529-nucleotide ribosomal RNA is filed under the name Brevibacterium avium. RNAcentral's name for it is "bacterial SSU rRNA". It matches the Rfam family "Bacterial small subunit ribosomal RNA", at positions 66 to 602 of the family's 1533-position model. The record is from RNAcentral. Lineage: Bacteria; Bacillati; Actinomycetota; Actinomycetes; Micrococcales; Brevibacteriaceae.